UUUUUAAAUUUCCCGUC
This 17-nucleotide ribosomal RNA is filed under the name Acacia victoriae. Its description in RNAcentral is "partial small subunit ribosomal RNA". Lineage: Eukaryota; Viridiplantae; Streptophyta; Magnoliopsida; Fabales; Fabaceae. The record is from RNAcentral.